This 743-nucleotide ribosomal RNA is filed under the name uncultured organism. Its description in RNAcentral is "bacterial SSU rRNA". It matches the Rfam family "Bacterial small subunit ribosomal RNA", at positions 1 to 745 of the family's 1533-position model. The record is from RNAcentral.
UUAGAGUUUGAUCCUGGCUCAGGAUGAACGCUAGCGGCGCGCUUAAUGCAUGCAAGUCGAGGGGUGAGGACGGCUUCGGGCGGGCCACCACCGGCGCACGGGUGAGUAUCACGUUUGUAACCUACCUUUAACACAGGGAUAACCCUAAGAAAUUAGGAUUAAUAUUCCAUAACCUCCUCGAUGGGUAUCGGUUCCUGCUCUCUGGUCCGGGCUUGCGGCACGGCCAUGCGUUGGUUUGGCUAAGGCCUGAGGUAACUGCUCGGGUAGCUACUGUGUUUAGGGGGUCUGAAAGGAGGGUCCCCCACACUGGUACUGAUACUCCGACCAGACUCCUACGGGAGGAUUGCAUGAUGAAUAAUGGUCUGAGGGCGAAAGCCCGAACCAGCCAUGCCGGCCUGAAGGAUGACGGCCCUAUGGGUUGUAAACUUCUUUUAUACGGUACCCAAACCGUCCUACGUGUAGGGCGUUGACCGUACCGUACCAAUAAGCCUCAGCACACUCCCUGCCUCCAGCCGUGCUGAUACUGAAGAUGCAGCCGUUAUCCAGAUUUAUUGUGUUUAAAAGCCGCGUGCGCGGAAAUUGAAAUCCGUACUGAACUCCUGCGGCUCAACCCUACAAAUGUUAUUGAUACUCAAUUUCUUGAAUACAGUUGAGGUAAGCGGAAUGAGAACUGUAACGGUGAAAUGCUCUCCAUAUUACUGUAAACGACGAUUGCGACGCAGCUUACUAAACUGAUAUUGACG